RNAcentral lists this ribosomal RNA (501 nucleotides) under uncultured Glomeromycotina. Its description in RNAcentral is "partial small subunit ribosomal RNA". It matches the Rfam family "Eukaryotic small subunit ribosomal RNA", at positions 591 to 1092 of the family's 1831-position model. The record is from RNAcentral. Lineage: Eukaryota; Fungi; Glomeromycota.
CCAAUAGCGUAUAUUAAAGUUGUUGCAGUUAAAAAGCUCGUAGUUGAAUUUCGGGGUUUAUCCGUUGGUCGGGCUUUUGGGUCUGUACUGGCGUGAUGGAUUCCUACCUUCUGAAUAACUAGCAUGCCAUUAAUUUGGUGCGUUGGGGAAGCAGGACUGUUACCUUGAAAAAAUUAGAGUGCUUAAAGCAGGCUAUUGCCUGAAUACAUUAGCAUGGAAUAAUGAAAUAGGACGCAUGGUUCUAUUUUGUUGGUUUCUAGGAUCACCGUAAUGAUUAAUAGGGAUAGUUGGGGGCAUUAGUAUUCAAUUGUCAGAGGUGAAAUUCUUGGAUUUAUUGAAGACUAACUUCUGCGAAAGCAUUUGCCAAGGAUGUUUUCAUUAAUCAAGAACGAAAGUUAGGGGAUCGAAGACGAUCAGAUACCGUCGUAGUCUUAACCAUAAACUAUGCCGACUAGGGAUCGGACGAUGUUAAUUUUUUAAUGACUCGUUCGGCGCCUUACG